Long non-coding RNA from Lycium barbarum (goji berry), 722 nucleotides. RefSeq lists it as uncharacterized. The transcript has 3 exons. NCBI's taxonomy places the organism in Eukaryota, Viridiplantae, Streptophyta, Magnoliopsida, Solanales, Solanaceae. The record is from RefSeq and is a predicted model, not a curated record.
CCCUUCAUUCAUUGGUGACAGGAAUUCAAAAACAAUUUAAAUUCACUGAAUCCUAGAAUCCCCCAGUUAAUUUAGAUCUAGAGUUAAAAUCAUAAACUACACUAAACUAAGUUUUCAAAAACACUGACCACUGUUAUUCUUCUCAAACAUAGAGCUCACUGUGGGAUGUAUACUCUUUCGUGAAAUCCCUAUUGCAUAACCUUCCUAAUCUUAAUUCACAAUGAAAGCUUUUUCAAAGCGCAUGCAAUCUCCGUUCUUGAGCAGUUCUAGCUUACAGAAGACGUGACCUUAGAUAGGAGGUUAUGGAGGACUCAUAUUAGGAUGACACACCAUAAUGUUGGGACCCCUGUGAUUUCGGAAACCAGGGAGAAUAAAUCACUUGCUGGAAUUAUAGAAAAAGAGAUAACCUCAUCAGGUACAUUCCAUCAGAUCGUAUUAUAAGUAUGGUGUCCAUCAGAGACGUUUUCCGUGUUGUUUUGAGUGAGCAUAGGGAUGAGCUGAACCGUUUAAAUGCCUAAAUAUAUACAAGGUCGUUAAGAGAUGAUAACGAUGUAAAUAAAUUGACCAUUUUCUUGUAAAUAUUGGCGUGCUUGGGUUUUCUAGUGAUGUGCCUCUGGAUGUGGCUGUACAACAUUACUUUUCCAGUUUUUAGUGUUCUUAUAACUGGUAGUUGUUUAAUAUGGUAGUUUCUUUCUUUAAAUAGAAGAAAGGUGUUCAUCUUG